UGUUCGUCAUUUUCCUUCCUGAUUGAAAACAGACACGAAAGAUGGUGAAAGGGAGAUUAAUCUGAAGAGCAAAGUGCAUUUGGAAAAUUGAAAACCACAGCUGCCAAUAUGGCCCAGGCUCUGUGAGAUGACAUGCAACUGGUAGGAGGUAAGCUAUGUCAGGGCGGGACA
Long non-coding RNA from Myotis lucifugus (little brown bat), 171 nucleotides. RefSeq lists it as uncharacterized. The transcript has 3 exons. NCBI's taxonomy places the organism in Eukaryota, Metazoa, Chordata, Mammalia, Chiroptera, Vespertilionidae. The record is from RefSeq and is a predicted model, not a curated record.